UGCCAGCCGCCGCGGUAAUACGGCGGGUGCAAACGUGGCUCGGAAUUACUGGGCGUAAAGCGCACGUAGGCGGACUGUUAAGUUAGAGGUGAAAUCCCGGGGCUCAACCCCGGAACUGCCUUUAAUACUGGCAGUCUAGAGUUCGAGAGAGGUGAGUGGAAUUCCGAGUGUAGAGGUGAAAUUCGUAGAUAUUGGGAAGAACACCAGUGGCGAAGGCGGCUAACUGGCUCGGUACUGACGCUGAGAUGCGAAAGCGUGGGGAGCAAACAGGAUUAGAUA
This 279-nucleotide ribosomal RNA is filed under the name uncultured bacterium. RNAcentral's name for it is "partial 16S ribosomal RNA". It matches the Rfam family "Bacterial small subunit ribosomal RNA", at positions 506 to 784 of the family's 1533-position model. The record is from RNAcentral.